This is a non-coding RNA of Gossypium arboreum, 107 nucleotides long. Lineage: Eukaryota; Viridiplantae; Streptophyta; Magnoliopsida; Malvales; Malvaceae. The record is from Rfam.
AACCCAUGGUGAGGACACCUUCUCAGUAAGUCCUUGCAUCUCUCCUAUGCAUCAUAAAGUGUUUCUAAAUCCAUCUGCACAAAAGAAGAGAUAUCAUUAAGCAAUUU